ACCGAACGCUUCCCCCCUGCCUAACACAUGCAAGUCGAACGAGACCUUCGGGUCUAGUGGCGCACGGGUGCGUAACGCGUGGGAACCUGCCCUUAGGUUCGGAAUAACUCCCCGAAAGGGGUGCUAAUACCGGAUAAUGUCUUCGGACCAAAGAUUUAUCGCCUUUGGAUGGGCCCGCGUUGGAUUAGCUAGUUGGUAGGGUAAAAGCCUACCAAGGCGACGAUCCAUAGCUGGUCUGAGAGGAUGAUCAGCCACACUGGGACUGAGACACGGCCCAGACUCCUACGGGAGGCAGCAGUGGGGAAUAUUGGACAAUGGGCGAAAGCCUGAUCCAGCAAUGCCGCGUGAGUGAUGAAGGCCUUAGGGUUGUAAAGCUCUUUUACCCGGGAUGAUAAUGACAGUACCGGGAGAAUAAGCUCCGGCUAACUCCGUG
RNAcentral lists this ribosomal RNA (433 nucleotides) under uncultured bacterium. RNAcentral describes it as "partial 16S ribosomal RNA". It matches the Rfam family "Bacterial small subunit ribosomal RNA", at positions 30 to 507 of the family's 1533-position model. The record is from RNAcentral.